This 76-nucleotide transfer RNA is filed under the name Pseudomonas viridiflava. Its description in RNAcentral is "tRNA-Ala". The stretch from base 7 to 66 matches the Rfam family "tRNA", at positions 7 to 64 of the family's 71-position model. From Rfam's summary of the family: Transfer RNA (tRNA) molecules are approximately 80 nucleotides in length. Their secondary structure includes four short double-helical elements and three loops (D, anti-codon, and T loops). The record is from RNAcentral. Lineage: Bacteria; Pseudomonadati; Pseudomonadota; Gammaproteobacteria; Pseudomonadales; Pseudomonadaceae.
AAUCCNAUAGCUCAGCUGGGAGAGCGCCUGCAUGGCAUGCAGGAGGUCAGCGGUUCGAUCCCGCUUAGCUCCACCA